GACCCGUUCCCCGAGCAGUCUCCGUAUGGUGUGCGCGCCCUGAAGGGCUAGGGGGCGGGUCGCUU
RNAcentral lists this non-coding RNA (65 nucleotides) under Leifsonia xyli subsp. cynodontis DSM 46306. RNAcentral's name for it is "DUF3800-IX RNA". It matches the Rfam family "DUF3800-IX RNA". From Rfam's summary of the family: Actinobacteria, Firmicutes (1 example), Nitrospirae, Proteobacteria, Verrucomicrobia (1 example). The record is from Rfam by way of RNAcentral. Lineage: Bacteria; Bacillati; Actinomycetota; Actinomycetes; Micrococcales; Microbacteriaceae.